This 187-nucleotide unclassified non-coding RNA is filed under the name Glomus sp. RNAcentral's name for it is "partial contains 5.8S ribosomal RNA and internal transcribed spacer 2". The stretch from base 1 to 71 matches the Rfam family "5.8S ribosomal RNA", at positions 84 to 154 of the family's 154-position model. Lineage: Eukaryota; Fungi; Glomeromycota; Glomeromycetes; Glomerales; Glomeraceae. The record is from RNAcentral.
GUGAAUCAUCAAAUCUUUGAACGCAAAUUGCACUCUCUGGUAUUCCGGAGAGUAUGCCUGUUUGAGGGUCAGUUUAAAUAAAAACCGGUUUGGUUGCUGCCUUUCGUGGUGACGCUCCGGAUUUGGGUCGUCGUUCUUUCGGUUAAGUGACCUAAACUUAAGCAUGAGUUCGUUCGUUCGAAUUUAA